RNAcentral lists this ribosomal RNA (595 nucleotides) under uncultured bacterium. RNAcentral's name for it is "bacterial SSU rRNA". It matches the Rfam family "Bacterial small subunit ribosomal RNA", at positions 907 to 1506 of the family's 1533-position model. The record is from RNAcentral.
GAAUUGACGGGGGCCCGCACAAGCAGUGGAGUAUGUGGUUUAAUUCGAAGCAACGCGAAGAACCUUACCAGGUCUUGACAUCCACCGAAUCCUGUAGAGAUACGGGAGUGCCCUUCGGGGAGCGGUGAGACAGGUGGUGCAUGGUUGUCGUCAGCUCGUGUCGUGAGAUGUUGGGUUAAGUCCCGCAACGAGCGCAACCCUUGUGAAUAGUUGCUACGAAAGAGCACUCUAUUCAGACCGCCGUUGACAAAACGGAGGAAGGUGGGGAUGACGUCAAAUCAUCAUGCCCCUUAUGACCUGGGCUACACACGUACUACAAUGGUCGUUAACAGAGGGAAGCAAGGCCGCGAGGUGGAACGAACCCCUAAAAACGAUCUCAGUUCAGAUUGCAGGCUGAAACUCGCCUGCAUGAAGAUGGAAUUGCUAGUAAUCGCGGAUCAGCAUGCCGCGGUGAAUACGUUCCCGGGCCUUGUACACACCGCCCGUCACACCAUGAGAGCCGGGGACACCCGAAGUCGGUUGGGUAACCGUAAGGAGCCCGCCGCCGAAGGUGGAAUCGGUAAUUGGGGUGAAGUCGUAACAAGGUAACCAAGCC